Molecule: non-coding RNA, 46 nt
Organism: Takifugu rubripes (torafugu)
Lineage: Eukaryota; Metazoa; Chordata; Actinopteri; Tetraodontiformes; Tetraodontidae
Source: Rfam
ACAACGGCUCUUUUCAGAGCCACACACACGCGCUAAAGCACCGCUU